This 289-nucleotide long non-coding RNA is filed under the name Homo sapiens (human). RNAcentral describes it as "HSALNT0373658". The record is from RNAcentral. Lineage: Eukaryota; Metazoa; Chordata; Mammalia; Primates; Hominidae.
CAAAUCUCAAAGGGUUCACUUUUUUGUUUGUUUUUUAAAAAGCUGCCAGGCAGAGAAACGAGAAACCUUUGCAAGUGAGUGAGCACAGAAACAUGCUUAAGUGAAACUCAGUGGAGGACAUGAGUACACUUACAGACCAAAGACGCCUAUCCCUCCUGUGCUUGGGCAUGAAAUUUCCAGAAUCAGAAGAAAAGAAUCUCUUACAGCAUUUAGCAGAGGAGAACAUUGGUAUAUGGAAUGGCGAGUUUAUGUUUUUAAACAGUGCCUAGCAUAGUACCUGAUACAUGGU